AGAGUUUGAUCCUGGCUCAGACGAACGCUGGUGGCGUGUCUUAUACAUGCAAGUCGAGCGGGGCAGCAAUGCCCAGCGGCGAACGGGUGAGUAACGCGUAAGCAAUCUGCCCCAUAUCAGGAAAUACCCGUGCCAACGCGCGGUUAAUGUCCAGGAGCGUGGCCUCCGCAUGGGAGGUUGACAAGAGAUUUUAUCGGGUAUGGGAUGAGCUUGCGUCCGAUUAGCUAGUUGGCGGGGCAACGGCCCACCAAGGCGACGAUCGGUAGCCGGCCUGAGAGGGUGAUCGGCCACAUUGGGACUGAGAUACGGCCCAGACUCCUACGGGAGGCAGCAGUAGGGAAUAUUGCACAAUGGGGAAACCCUGAUGCAGCAACGCCACGUGUGGGAAGAAGCAUUUCGGUGUGUAAACCACUGUCGUGAGGGAAUAAGGCGUCUUCUCGGAGACGUUGAAUGUACCUCGAAAGGAAGCACCGGCAAACUUCGUGCC
This 487-nucleotide ribosomal RNA is filed under the name uncultured bacterium. RNAcentral describes it as "bacterial SSU rRNA". It matches the Rfam family "Bacterial small subunit ribosomal RNA", at positions 8 to 509 of the family's 1533-position model. The record is from RNAcentral.